Molecule: ribosomal RNA, 490 nt
Filed under: uncultured bacterium
Lineage: Bacteria
Description: bacterial SSU rRNA
Rfam family: Bacterial small subunit ribosomal RNA
Source: RNAcentral
AGGCUGAAAAGUUGUAAAAUCCUUUUGUUGAUGAAGAAUAAGGGUGAGAGGGAAUGCUCAUCUGAUGACGGUAAUCGACGAAUAAGCCCCGGCUAAUUACGUGCCAGCAGCCGCGGUAACACGUAAGGGGCGAGCGUUGUUCGGAAUUAUUGGGCGUAAAGGGCAUGUAGGCGGCUAUGUAAGCCUGAUGUGAAAUCCUGGGGCUUAACCCUAGAAUAGCAUUGGGUACUGUAUAGCUUGAAUUACGGAAGGGAAACUGGAAUUCCAAGUGUAGGGGUGGAAUCUGUAGAUAUUUGGAAGAACACCGGUGGCGAAGGCGGGUUUCUGGCCGAUAAUUGACGCUGAGAUGCGAAAGUGUGGGGAUCGAACAGGAUUAGAUACCCUGGUAGUCCACACUGUAAACGAUGUACACUAGGUGUUGGGGCAAGAGCUUCAGUGCCAAAGCAAACGCGAUAAGUGUACCGCCUGGGGAGUAUGCCCGCAAGGGUGA